RNAcentral lists this transfer-messenger RNA (367 nucleotides) under Myxococcales bacterium. It matches the Rfam family "transfer-messenger RNA". From Rfam's summary of the family: Bacterial tmRNA, also known as 10Sa RNA or SsrA, is named for its dual tRNA and mRNA-like properties. Its role is to liberate the mRNA from a stalled ribosome. Lineage: Bacteria; Pseudomonadati; Myxococcota; Myxococcia; Myxococcales. The record is from RNAcentral.
GGGGGCGACCUGGUCUCGACGGGGGCAUGGAGGCCCUGAAACGCGUGCCGAGUGGGCACACCACACUCGUUAAUAAAAGUGAGCAAAAACCAAAAAAGCCAACGACAACGUUGAGCUUGCUCUGGCCGCCUAAAAAACGGUCAAGCACGGUCGCCUGAGCUUCUGCUCGUGAGCCCAGGGUCGACCGAACCAAUGCGAGCUGGCUUCUCCUUGCGGUUGGACGGAGAGAGGCGAGACAAAUCCAGCUAGGCCUUUUCGAAUUCCGUCCGUGGAAGUCGAGAGGGCGUCACUAAAUCGCGGACUACGCACGUAGGGCUUCAGAGCCAAAGGCUUUCGGACGUGGGUUCGAUUCCCACCGCCUCCACAG